Vicugna pacos (alpaca) is the source of this 73-nucleotide non-coding RNA. The record is from the annotation of a RefSeq genome assembly. Lineage: Eukaryota; Metazoa; Chordata; Mammalia; Artiodactyla; Camelidae.
GGAGGGGUAGCUCAAGUGGUAGAGCACGUGCUUCGCAUGCAUGAGGUCCUGGGUUCGAUCCCCAGUCCCUCCU